RNAcentral lists this unclassified non-coding RNA (200 nucleotides) under soil metagenome. RNAcentral's name for it is "partial contains internal transcribed spacer 2 and large subunit ribosomal RNA". The record is from RNAcentral.
UAUCACCUCUCAAGCCUGGCUUGCUGUUGGAUCUUGGUUAUAGUCUAGCUACAACCUAUCCUAAAGAUAAUGACGGCGUCUAUGAGGACUCCAGUACACUGAGCAUUUUAUGCACGUACGAGGUAGAACCUUAGGCCCGGUCUUACUUCAUUUUUAUCAAGGUUGACCUCGGAUCAGGUAGGAAUACCCGCUGAACUUAA